Vigna unguiculata (cowpea) is the source of this 2054-nucleotide long non-coding RNA. The record is from RefSeq and is a predicted model, not a curated record. Lineage: Eukaryota; Viridiplantae; Streptophyta; Magnoliopsida; Fabales; Fabaceae.
UAUAAUUUUUUUAUUAGAAAAAUUCCCAUCGUUUAAAGGUUUCAAGGUUAGAGAUCCAACAUUUACAUUUCCAUACAAAUUCUACAUUAUGCCAUAAACCUUUGUUGCUGCAAAUCCUAGAUUAAAGGAAAUAUUUACUGGGCUAUGAGGACUUGUUCAACAAAAGAAAAAACAAAUAGGUUUAAAACUAUUUUCACGUAUGUAUGAAUUAUUCAAACUUGUUCGAUAUUUUAAGUAAUUUUUAAUUAUUUUUUAUUUCUAUAAACUACUUAAAUCAGAUAUUUUAUAUUAUUGUAAUAUAGGGUUCACCGUAAAAAACAUAGUGAUAGGGUUUACUUUGGCUGACUAUAUAAACAGUGUCUUCCUUCUUCUCAUAUGUGGCGCUGCAAUGCCACCAAAGGAAGCCGUUUCAUUACGGUGCCGUUUGCUUUGUCUUUCAUUUUCUGCAUUUCAUUCCUUGUUAAUUUCUGUUUUCCCAAAUAAUUUCUGCCAUUGCAGAUCGUUGAAAACUUAUCAUAGCUUUUGCCUUUUCGGUUUCUAUUUUAUGUAUGAAUUGUGAUUCAUCGAAGCCAAUGAUGAUUUUUGCUUGUAGCAAGUGCCGUCUUAAAACCAUACUCUUUGUACGGUGUGUGAUGCACAUUUUCACAUUAUCUGAGGCUUUAUUCUUUUUGUUCUGAAUCUGAUCUCAAUUUUUUUUUUCAAAGCAGAGGUUAGGGUUUUCUUUUAAAUCAAACGUAAUGUAUCCUGGUUCUAAUAUUUAGGUUAAUGCUCAUAUGCGUAUCGUCCUAAUAGUUAAAUCUUAUUAGUUCCGUCCGCAAGUGCUUGAGUGCUUCUCAUUCUAUGUUUUGGAAGUAUUUUUUCAAAAGAAAGCCAAUUUGCAGAGCAAGUGCGUGUAUUAUGUUAAAAUGACGAAACUUGCAUUGAAGGUUGGCGAGAACAAUUGCGAUUCUCCGUGCCUAUCAGAUUCACUUUGUUUUGAUUAUGGCCUCGAACAAGUCGCUACAUUGUCUAUAUUUUUCUUUUCUUUUUAUCGAUUGCUUUCACUGAAUUUUUUGCAGGGUUUUUUAUUUUGUUUUGAAAACGUUGCUUUCACUGAAAUUGGGUAAGGCGUAUUGUGUUCAGUUCUAAUUGUUUUCGUCAGCAAGUGUUUCAGUGCAUCUCAUUCUAUGUUUUCGAAGUUUUUGUUUAAGAGAAAGCCAAUUUGCAGAGCAAGUGCGUGUAUUAUGUAAAAGUGACGAAACUUGCAUUGAAGGGUUUUUUUAUUUUGUGAAUAGAUCAAAGUUGAGGUCUUUGAAUGAAUGUGAUUUGAUGAAUGAUCGAAGCUCUUAAUCUGUAUACUCAACUUUUCCUUUUUAUAAUUUACUCUAAAGUUUACCCACUCAUGUUCGAUUUGUUUGUAUCAACCUGGAUUAGACAAGAGUAUCAAAAAAUCCCCAGAAUAAUGGACCAUUGAAAUAUACAACCAUGUACCAGAUACAAACCUUUAUUCAAGCAUAAUGAAGAAACAUCGCAAAUUGUGCUGCUCCAGAAUAACAGUAUUAGCUCAAACCCUUUGUUGCAUCAACUUGGCCUGUAAGAAACAUAAUUAGUACUUUUACUGGGUGGGUUAAAGUAUUAGCCAAAUUCAUUACAAAUAACUGGUUUAGUGUUAUCCCUAGUCACUCUGCCUUGUAUGCUCUGAUUGUAGGGAAGUAAGGUUUUAAAAUUCUCUCUUGGUCAUGAUUGCAAUUCCAUUCUGAUAUGUGGUAUUGCGUAAAGAAAAAGAUAACAUACUGCAAUUAUUUAAAAAAGAACUUGCUGCAAAGAGAAGUGCAUGAUCGUGGAAAGUGGGCCUAAUAUGUGGAUGUAGUCUAUAAACAUUUGAGGGAGGAAGGAACUGGCCAAAUUUAAGUUGCUUCUUGUCUUGGCUAAGCUAGAAAUGGUAGGUAGGGUCAAGGGAGGAAGGUAUCUAAUUGGUGGAGCCCUUUUAAGGUUUGUUCCGUAGGAGUGGAGCCCCUUUGGUGAGUUUCACUUGUGGAUUUGCAUUAUGGAAAUGGACUUUGGACUUUUAUACA